UCUAUGUUGCCAGCACGUAAUGGUGGGAACUCAUGGGAUACUGCCGGGGUCAACUCGGAGGAAGGUGGGGAUGACGUCAAAUCAUCAUGCCCCUUAUGUCUUGGGCUUCACGCAUGCUACAAUGGCCGGUACAAAGGGCUGCAAUACCGCGAGGUGGAGCGAAUCCCAAAAAGCCGGUCCCAGUUCGGAUUGAGGUCUGCAACUCGACCUCAUGAAGUCGGAGUCGCUAGUAAUCGCAGAUCAGCAACGCUGCGGUGAAUACGUUCCCGGGUCUUGUACACACCGCCCGUCAAGUCAUGAAAGUCGGUAACACCUGAAGCCGGUGGCCUAACCCUUGUGGAGGGAGCCGUCGAAGGUGGGAUCGGUAAUUAGGACUAAGUCGUAACAAGGUAGCCGUACCGGAAGGUGCGGCUGGAUCACCUCCUUUCUAAGGA
Molecule: ribosomal RNA, 434 nt
Filed under: Escherichia coli
Lineage: Bacteria; Pseudomonadati; Pseudomonadota; Gammaproteobacteria; Enterobacterales; Enterobacteriaceae
Description: bacterial SSU rRNA
Rfam family: Bacterial small subunit ribosomal RNA
Source: RNAcentral